GUGGGGAAGGCUGACUUCUGUCUUAAAGGCUUACUCUGGAUCAUAAUGUUGAGUGAAGGCUGUCAGGAGACAAAGAGGAUAAAAUGAGAAGAUAGCAAUCUGCAAACCAAGAAGCAGACCCUCAUCAGACACUGGCACCUUGAUUUUGGACUUCCCAGCCUCCAGAACUAAACAGGGUUUCACCAUGUUGCCCAGGCUGGUCUCCAACUCCUGAGCUCAGGCAAUCUGCCCACCUCGGCCUCCCAAAGUGCUGGGAUUACAGAACUUUACGAUCCUACAGGACUGGAUCAUAGAGCUGUGAACAUGCACUAUUCCUCAAAACAAGAGAAGAAAGAACCCAAAACCCAAAAAUGAUUUGAAGAUCAUCAGGCCACCACUCCCACCAUAGGAACAGAGGACCUAACUUGGGGAACAGGGCGGCUGCCUCUGCCUCAGUUUCAAAGAGCAGGACCAGUGCCCAAUGGAGCCAUCGGUGCAGCGCCACCUGUAGCAGCAGAGGCACAGCACUACUCAGCAGAGCCACUGAGGUAUAACUUCAGCCUGGCAGAGCCAUGGGUGUGUGGCCCCCACCAGACAGAGCCACACAGGCAGGACUGCUACCCCAGUGGGUCCCAGAAGGCAGAGCAUUGAGCCAAAGAAGCUCUUCAAGCCUUAACGUCUUACGAAUUUUGCCUUGAUAGGUUUGGGACUUUCUUGGGACUCCAUCAUCCCUUUCUUCUUUCCUAUUUCUCCUUUUUGGGAUGGGAAUAUUUAUCCUAUCCCUUUCCCACAAUUUUAUUUUGGAAACACGCAACUAAUUUGAUUUCACAAGUUCACAGCUGGAGAGGAAUUUUGCCUCACAAUGAAUCUUACCUCUAUUCUUAUUCAUAUCUCAUUUAGAUGAGACUUUGGGCUUUAAACUUUAGAGUUCAGGCUGCAAUGAGUUAAGACUUUUGAGGCUGUUGAGUUGGAAUGAAUGUAUUUUGCAUAUGAGAUGGGCAGGAGUUUUGGGGGUCCAGUGGCAGAAUGCUAUAGACUGAAUUGUUGUGUCCCAGCAAAUUCAUAUGUUGAAAUUCUAACCUCCAGUGUGAUUGUAUUAAGAGGUAGGGACCUUUGGGAGGUAAUUAGGUCAUGAGGGUGGAACCCUCAUGAAUGGCAUUAAUACCCUUAUAAGAAAAGACAUGAAAGUGUGAUCUCACUCUCUUUCUUUCUUCCCACCAUGUGAGAAUGCAACAGCAAGACAGCCGUCUACAAACCAGGAAGAGUGCCCUCGCCAGAAAAUGGAUUUGCUGGCACUUUGAUAUUGGAAUUCCCAGCCCCCAGGACUGUGAGAAAUAAAUUUCUGUCAUUUAAGCCA
Molecule: long non-coding RNA, 1336 nt
Filed under: Homo sapiens (human)
Lineage: Eukaryota; Metazoa; Chordata; Mammalia; Primates; Hominidae
Description: PREDICTED lncRNA (TCONS_00088791)
Source: RNAcentral